GGAGAGCUGCCUGAGCGGUUGAAAGGGCACGACUGGAAAUCGUGUGUGCGCCUUGAAAGCGUACCUAGGGUUCGAAUCCCUAGCUCUCCGCCA
Molecule: transfer RNA, 93 nt
Filed under: Actinomycetes bacterium
Lineage: Bacteria; Bacillati; Actinomycetota; Actinomycetes
Description: Actinobacteria bacterium tRNA-Ser
Rfam family: tRNA
About the family: Transfer RNA (tRNA) molecules are approximately 80 nucleotides in length. Their secondary structure includes four short double-helical elements and three loops (D, anti-codon, and T loops).
Source: RNAcentral